RNAcentral lists this ribosomal RNA (436 nucleotides) under uncultured bacterium. RNAcentral's name for it is "bacterial SSU rRNA". It matches the Rfam family "Bacterial small subunit ribosomal RNA", at positions 39 to 524 of the family's 1533-position model. The record is from RNAcentral.
CGCGACUGGGCCAUUCAUGAUGAGCGGGGCGUGGCGUUAACAGCGGCGGACGGGUGAGUAACGCGUGGGAACGUGCCUUCUGGUUCGGAAUAACUCAGGGAAACUUGAGCUAAUACCGGAUACGCCCUUUUGGGGAAAGGUUUACUGCCGGAAGAUCGGCCCGCGUCUGAUUAGCUAGUUGGUGGGGUAACGGCCUACCAAGGCGACGAUCAGUAGCUGGUCUGAGAGGAUGAUCAGCCACACUGGGACUGAGACACGGCCCAGACUCCUACGGGAGGCAGCAGUGGGGAAUAUUGGACAAUGGGCGCAAGCCUGAUCCAGCCAUGCCGCGUGAGUGAUGAAGGCCUUAGGGUUGUAAAGCUCUUUUAUCCGGGACGAUAAUGACGGUACCGGAGGAAUAAGCCCCGGCUAACUUCGUGCCAGCAGCCGCGGUAAU